Molecule: ribosomal RNA, 393 nt
Filed under: Entamoeba histolytica
Lineage: Eukaryota; Evosea; Mastigamoebida; Endamoebidae
Description: SSU rRNA
Rfam family: Eukaryotic small subunit ribosomal RNA
Source: RNAcentral
AAGCAUUGUUUCUAGAUCUGAGUAUAUCAAUAUUACCUUGUUCAGAACUUAAAGAGAAAUCUUGAGUUUAUGGACUUCAGGGGGAGUAUGGUCACAAGGCUGAAACUUAAAGGAAUUGACGGAAGGGCACACCAGGAGUGGAGCCUGCGGCUUAAUUUGACUCAACACGGGAAAACUUACCAAGACCGAACAGUAGAAGGAAUGACAGAUUAAGAGUUCUUUCAUGAUUUAUUGGGUAGUGGUGCAUGGCCGUUCUUAGUUGGUGGAGUGAUUUGUCAGGUUAAUUCCGGUAACGAACGAGACUGAAACCUAUUAAUUAGUUUUCUGCCUAUAAGACAGAAAUGUUCGCAAGAACAGGUGCGUAAGUACCACUUCUUAAAGGGACACAUUCAA